CCCGCAACGAGCGAACAAGGGAGUCAUUAGUUGCUACGCAAGAGCACUCUAAUGAGACUGCCUGUGACAAACCGGAGGAAGGUGGGGAUGACGUCAAGUCCUCAUGGCCCUUAUGGGUAGGGCUUCACACGUCAUACAAUGGUACAUACAGAGGGCCGCCAACCCGCGAGGGGGAGCUAAUCCCAUAAAGUGUAUCGUAGUCCGGAUUGUAGUCUGCAACUCGACUGCAUGAAGUUGGAAUCGCUUGCAAUCGCGGAUAAUCAUGUCGCGCUGAAUACCUU
This 281-nucleotide ribosomal RNA is filed under the name Duganella sp. October_NA1A2. Its description in RNAcentral is "partial 16S ribosomal RNA". It matches the Rfam family "Bacterial small subunit ribosomal RNA", at positions 1086 to 1372 of the family's 1533-position model. Lineage: Bacteria; Pseudomonadati; Pseudomonadota; Betaproteobacteria; Burkholderiales; Oxalobacteraceae. The record is from RNAcentral.